UGAUUGGUAUGUCUGUGGGUAGA
This 23-nucleotide microRNA is filed under the name Macaca mulatta (Rhesus monkey). Lineage: Eukaryota; Metazoa; Chordata; Mammalia; Primates; Cercopithecidae. The record is from RNAcentral.